CCCCCCCCUGCCAUUACUGAUAGUAAGCAAGUGAUUGAUAAAGAUGUAGAGAGAUUUGGAGGCUUUUUGAGGGUAGAGAGAGAAAACUAGCCCAUUGCAUCAAAACUUUCAUAAACCUCAUCAUAAGUAGUGAAGAAGUCUUGUCCUUCAGUUGAAAGUAAUUCACUCAUUUUAGCAUCAUAUUGCUUAGCAUAAAACUGUGAUCCUUC
RNAcentral lists this unclassified non-coding RNA (209 nucleotides) under Hevea brasiliensis (rubber tree). The record is from RNAcentral. Lineage: Eukaryota; Viridiplantae; Streptophyta; Magnoliopsida; Malpighiales; Euphorbiaceae.